GGUAAUGCCGGAUGCUCCAUCACACCGCAUGGUGUGUUGGGAAAGCCUUUGCGGCAUGGGAUGGGGUCGCGUCCUAUCAGCUUGAUGGCGGGGUAACGGCCCACCAUGGCUUCGACGGGUAGCCGGCCUGAGAGGGCGACCGGCCACAUUGGGACUGAGAUACGGCCCAGACUCCUACGGGAGGCAGCAGUGGGGAAUAUUGCACAAUGGGCGCAAGCCUGAUGCAGCGACGCCGCGUGAGGGAUGGAGGCCUUCGGGUUGUAAACCUCUUUUGUUAGGGAGCAAGGCACUUUGUGUUGAGUGUACCUUUCGAAUAAGCACCGGCUAACUACGUGCCAGCAGCCGCGGUAAUACGUAGGGUGCAAGCGUUAUCCGGAAUUAUUGGGCGUAAAGGGCUCGUAGGCGGUUCGUCGCGUCCGGUGUGAAAGUCCAUCGCUUAACGGUGGAUCCGCGCCGGGUACGGGCGGGCUUGAGUGCGGUAGGGGAGACUGGAAUUCCCGGUGUAACGGUGGAAUGUGUAGAUAUCGGGAAGAACACCAAUGGCGAAGGCAGGUCUCUGGGCCGUUACUGACGCUGAGGAGCGAAAGCGUGGGGAGCGAACAGGAUUAGAUACCCUGGUAGUCCACGCCGUAAACGGUGGAUGCUGGAUGUGGGGCCCGUUCCACGGGUUCCGUGUCGGAGCUAACGCGUUAAGCAUCCCGCCUGGGGAGUACGGCCGCAAGGCUAAAACUCAAAGAAAUUGACGGGGGCCCGCACAAGCGGCGGAGCAUGCGGAUUAAUUCGAUGCAACGCGAAGAACCUUACCUGGGCUUGACAUGUUCCCGACGAUCCCAGAGAUGGGGUUUCCCUUCGGGGCGGGUUCACAGGUGGUGCAUGGUCGUCGUCAGCUCGUGUCGUGAGAUGUUGGGUUAAGUCCCGCAACGAGCGCAACCCUCGCCCCGUGUUGCCAGCGGAUUAUGCCGGGAACUCACGGGGGACCGCCGGGGUUAACUCGGAGGAAGGUGGGGAUGACGUCAGAUCAUCAUGCCCCUUACGUCCAGGGCUUCACGCAUGCUACAAUGGCCGGUACAACGGGAUGCGACAGUGCGAGCUGGAGCGGAUCCCUGAAAACCGGUCUCAGUUCGGAUCGCAGUCUGCAACUCGACUGCGUGAAGGCGGAGUCGCUAGUAAUCGCGAAUCAGCAACGUCGCGGUGAAUGCGUUCCCGGGCCUUGUACACACCGCCCGUCAAGUCAUGAAAGUGGGCAGCACCCGAA
RNAcentral lists this ribosomal RNA (1255 nucleotides) under Bifidobacterium breve. RNAcentral describes it as "bacterial SSU rRNA". It matches the Rfam family "Bacterial small subunit ribosomal RNA", at positions 162 to 1425 of the family's 1533-position model. The record is from RNAcentral. Lineage: Bacteria; Bacillati; Actinomycetota; Actinomycetes; Bifidobacteriales; Bifidobacteriaceae.